RNAcentral lists this ribosomal RNA (265 nucleotides) under uncultured bacterium. RNAcentral describes it as "partial 16S ribosomal RNA". It matches the Rfam family "Bacterial small subunit ribosomal RNA", at positions 42 to 305 of the family's 1533-position model. The record is from RNAcentral.
GCGUGCUUAACACAUGCAAGUCGAACGAACCUUCGGGUUAGUGGCGGACGGGUGAGUAACGCGUAAGUAAUCUACCCUCGCAUCUGGGAUAACCCACCGAAAGGUGUGCUAAUACCGGAUACGUCUAAGUUAAUAUCUUUUUUUUAGAGAAAGGUGGCCUCUUCAUGAAAGCUACUGUGCGGGGAGGAGCUUGCGUACCAUUAGCUAGUUGGUAGGGUAACGGCCUACCAAGGCGAUGAUGGUUAGCGGGUCUGAGAGGAUGAUC